CUUACCGUAAAAACACAGUUACAUGCACAGCUUUAUGUAGCGGUGGGGGUUAUACUAGAAAUAUCGAUGUACGCUGGCUAUAGGACUAUCAAGGCGUGUAUUAUAGUCGGAUACUGUUACUAAUGGCUUUAUGUUCUACCACAAUGAUCCGUGUAUAGCCAGGUAUAUGUAUGCGCUUGCUUUUGUGACUAUACGGUACUCUCCUGCCCGCUGUCGUCUCCAGAUCUGGAAGUGCUGGUUUUGAGCAGCUGGAGGAGGGGAGCAGGGUAAUCUAUACACAGAUCUAUAACAGUGAUGUUCGUGUCAUUGUUUGUGUAACACUUAGUGCAAUAACAAUAUUACCAAAUACACGUUUUGUUAAACAGUAGGAGAGCGGCAGAGACGGUGCAAAGAGACAUGGUCAAAAACUUUCUUUGAGCUGCCAAACCCCAAGACAGAGCUGAAGAGAGACGCUUUUAGAAACGGCUGGCACCCUAACGUCCUGAGGGGGUCUGUGAUGGCCGCAGUUUGGCAGCAAGUGUUGGCAGUGGAUGCGAGGUAAGAG
Long non-coding RNA from Polyodon spathula (Mississippi paddlefish), 544 nucleotides. RefSeq lists it as uncharacterized. NCBI's taxonomy places the organism in Eukaryota, Metazoa, Chordata, Actinopteri, Acipenseriformes, Polyodontidae. The transcript is spliced from 3 exons. The record is from RefSeq and is a predicted model, not a curated record.